This 335-nucleotide ribosomal RNA is filed under the name Salmonella enterica subsp. enterica serovar Infantis. RNAcentral describes it as "partial 23S ribosomal RNA". It matches the Rfam family "Bacterial large subunit ribosomal RNA", at positions 2608 to 2925 of the family's 2925-position model. Lineage: Bacteria; Pseudomonadati; Pseudomonadota; Gammaproteobacteria; Enterobacterales; Enterobacteriaceae. The record is from RNAcentral.
GGUUUAGAACGUCGUGAGACAGUUCGGUCCCUAUCUGCCGUGGGCGCUGGAGAACUGAGGGGGGCUGCUCCUAGUACGAGAGGACCGGAGUGGACGCAUCACUGGUGUUCGGGUUGUCAUGCCAAUGGCACUGCCCGGUAGCUAAAUGCGGAAGAGAUAAGUGCUGAAAGCAUCUAAGCACGAAACUUGCCCCGAGAUGAGUUCUCCCUGAGACUUAAAGUCUCCUGAAGGAACGUUGAAGACGACGACGUUGAUAGGCCGGGUGUGUAAGCGCAGCGAUGCGUUGAGCUAACCGGUACUAAUGAACCGUGAGGCUUAACCUUACAACGCCGAAG